GGGACUGCCAGCAGAGGGGGCUAGGGGCCAUGGUGGGAGGGGCCAGGCAGAGGAGCAGAGGAUGGGCUGGAUCCGCCCCUGUGCUCACCACAGCCUCACAGCCCACAGUUCCUUUCAAGGUGCAAGACUUCAUGCACUGGGUCCUAGAAAUACCUUAUAUAGAAAGUGCCUGGUGCACAGUAGUUGUUCAAUAGGCCAGAGCUAUUAUUAUUGCUAUUAUUAUAUGUGCAUAAGUAGACUUUUGGAAUGAUGGUAGUACAGAUAUAUCAGUUAGCCUUCUAACUAAGUAACUGGAGCCCCCCGCCUAGUAUCUUUGUGAAGCUUUAUGUGCCAGGGAAAAGGGUUGUUUUCCACCCUCUAACUGGAAGUACCAUGUCUUUCUGCAACACAUGUGUGACUUCUGACAAUCCUGGUCAACUGUGUCCCAGAACAAAAUGAAGCUGUUUUCCCUGAAUACCAUUCUUUUUCACGAUGGUUGAUAGAGGUUCACUAACAAUUUUGAUCUGGUAAAGAGUCAGUCAGUGGAAAAUUAGAAAUUUUAAUGAAGAUUCUCAUUAGUUGUUCUUCACAAAUAAUGGGCUAUAAUCCAACUCAAGAUUCUUAGCAAAGCAAUUCCUAUUUCAAUUAUCACAAGUAAUUAUUAGUUAGUGUUUAUAUCACUUUGUGCUUCUUAAGUACUUUCAAUUAUUUUUUUCUUUGAAAAAAAAAACCCCAAAAAACAAAACCCCACAAUGACACUAAAGAACCAGAAAACAAGCCCUUUGAGGCAUCUCAGAAUGUUAAUUUCCAUUUCACAGUUGGGGGAAUGUGGGAUAGUUAUUGAGCAAACACCAAUGUAUUCUGUUAUCCUUACAAAAAUAAUGCAAAUUUCUAUCCUAAUGGUUGCCCACGACCAGCUCCUACUAUUAAAUAAAUGUAUUUAUACACAAAAACAUCAACAUGUACAUGCAUGGUUGAAAAGAUGCUCUUAGAUCAAUGCUUCUAAUGCUCAGCAAAGAAAUAGACUCCCUGCAUGAUUUCUCUUCAGAAAAGUCAUGUGUUGAAUGAACCGGGUCUAAAGAUGGUGAUUUUGUCACUUCUCUGCUUGCUUCCUGCCUUCAAAAUUCCCAUUCUUCUGCCCUUGCUGGUUUGGCUCAGUAGAUAGAGCAUCAACCUGUGGAAUAAAGGGUCCCUGGUUUGAUUCCAGUCUAGGCCACAUGCCUGGGUUGUGGGCUCGUUCCCCCAUAUGGGGUGUAUAGGAGGCAACUGAUUGAUGAUUCUUUCUCAUCAUUGAUGUUUCUAUCUCUCUCUCCCUCUCCCUUCCUCUCUGAAAUAAAUAAAAAAUAUAUUUUAAUAAAUUCCCAUUCUCCUCCUUAUCUUCUUCUAUUCUUUUAAUUUAGUUGAUCAAUAAGUCAGUCGAUGUUUGCUGUGUAGCAAUUACACUGUUUCUGUUGCAUGCAACUGUAAGCAUUUAUUGUUGGCCCAUGCACCCAUGGGUUGUCUAGGCUGGUUAGCUCCAUGCUGAGGAGGUAGUGUUUUACCUCGGGUAUGCUUAAGGCAAAGACCUUUGGGCAAUAGGAUAAGCUUAAUGCAUAAGUACAUUUUAAAUCUUUGCAAGUGGCCUGGCUCAUUGGCUCUCCCAAAGUCAAGGUGCAGGGCAGCUUCCUCCUCCCACUGGUGGACCAUCGCAAGGGUUUUGGGCAUAUUAUUGUGGGAGUUGAGAGAUAAUCAAGUCCUGCAGACACAAGCAGCAUCUUCCUCUUUUCCUUUGCCCCAUCUCUUCUCUGACUUGCCUGUUAGAGUGUAACAAUAUUGGCAAGAUCGGGCCACAGUAAGAUAGAGUCUUAGCAAGACCAUGAUCCCCAAGGAUGUAAUACCCAAGGAGGCUAUCCGGGGAUUUCCUAUGAAUGUUAGAUUUAUGGCUAAAACACUCUAGUAAUAUUCUACCCCUGUAGUUAAGCCUCUUGCAAUGUGAUUUUGAAGAUCUCAUCAAGAGUUAGCAUUCAUUUCCCUGCCUCUCGAAUCUGGGCUUACUGGUGACUUGCUUCGGCUCAUGGCAUGUAGUGGACCUUAUGGGAUGCCAAUUUCAAGCCUAGUCAUCCAGGAGCUUUCUCUCCUUGCUUACCGUCAUGAGCAUAAGCCCAGGCUAACUUGCUAAAAGGUGAGAAGACCAUUUAGGGAUGAGUUGAGACCUCUAAGUUGUCCCUGCUGAAGAAGACACUGGUGACCAGCUCACUGCAGGACACGAAGAGGUCUCAGAUCAACAAGCUGCCUGGCUGACCCAUAUGUGUAUGAGAAAUAAUACAUCUGUUUUGAGCCACUAAGUUUUGGAUGGCUUGUUAGGCAGAAGUACUAAUUUAAAUACCUUGGAGCUCCUCAUCUUGGUUGCUUUGUACCAUAGUAUCCCUUUUCCAAUCCUGCAUAUUUUGGGGGCAGGCUAGAGGUGAUAAACUAUCCCCUGGUACCUUCCAUAUUCCCCAAAGCCACAUCCUCACAGUUCUUGAGAUUUUUGUGACUCUUUCUGAGUAAGCAUUUAUAGUGGGUGGCUAUUUAUUUAGAAAGAGUAUAGAACACAAAUUGAUUUUGGAGAAUGUGAUUACUGAGACUAUAAAAAGCAAAGCAAAGCACACAAUGGCUUUGUGUUCAAGCUGUCAGAUGCAUUCUAAUUUCUGUAACAAUGGUAAUUAAUUUUAGCUGGAUAGAAAAUCCAUUUUCUUUGAGGAAUCAGUGAACGAUAGAGAAAAUUUGUCAGUAACCAUUGUCUGGAAUUUUAGUCUCCAGGAGGCACAAUCAUUUUACAAUGACAGCUAUUAUAUGGGAAAAUCAACCUAAGAGAAAGCUAUUAGGCACUACUGUACAUUUCUGUGACAAUGGGAUUGAAGUCAGAUAAAAAGGUAAGAGGCCUGAUAUCAAAGAUCUACUUUUUUCUCUCCUGUUUUCCCAGCACUAAAAUGUAAUAUAAAAAGUGAAAUGUAAAGAGAUAGGUGUGGUGGCUUACAGUUUAAAAUUUUACAUUAUCAAACAUAUUUCAGGGCAUGAUCUUUGGGGAUUCAGGAAAAUAGCCAUUUAUGAAAAUAUCAGGGGAAUGCUCUCUUUUUGCCAUUAAAUCUACAAUCCCACUGUAAAUUUUCUGUGGUUUAGUGUUUUGUUAUCAAUAUUUUCCUGCUCAUCACUGAACUCUAAUGGACUCAUUUUCACAUUUGUGGGCAUGUGCCACUACUUUAUUUUUUAUGGUGUACUGUGGUAGUUGAACUUUUGUACUGGUUUUAAACUAGACUACCAAAGCAAUGUGGAAUUUGUCACAAGUGAAAUCUGUAUAAAAGAUGUAAGGCAAUGUUUCAUAGUAUUUUUACGUGUACUGAUGAACUUAUUUAUCUACUUGGAAAAAGUUUUUCAGAUGUGGGGGUGUAUUUGCAUUGUUCCAUUCACUCAACCUCAUGUCCCUGACUGGAGGGCACAGAUGUUAUUAUUCUACUAGAGGCCUGCUGCACGAAGAUUUGUGCAAGAAUAGGCCUUCCUUCCCCUGGUUUCCCUCCUGGCCAUCCGGGAGCCUGCAAGUCCUCCUGUAGCUCCCUCCACCCUGAUCCUCCUCCUUCCCUUCCCCCGCAUAGCAAGCAUUCUGCCCCACCUGGCUGCUCCACACCUGCGUAUGCAAAUUAACCCAACAUCUUUGUUGGGUAAUUUUGCCUGUACACUCCUGAUUGGCUUAUAGAUGUCUCAGAGGUGUGAUUAAUUUGCAUUUUUCUCUUUUAUUAGUGUAGAUGUGAUGUUUGGGUAUGUACAUGCACUGAAUAAAUGCAUCAGGCAUUUUGGGGCUACAAAGGGGUUGGUCAGCUUCCAGGAAGCCUCUUUGUAGGGACAAUAGGAACAUGAAGGAGCCACACCUUCUUUGCCUUCUGACCCUUUCUUGUAAGUUUCUCCUCUAUAAAGCCUCUGCCUUAAAGUAUUUCAUGUGUUGUUUUGGAAUUCUUCCUGAGCCCUGGAGCUUGACAGGGAGUUGAUCACAAAAGGACUUGACUUGCAUAACAAUCUGUUUUUAAAUGACUCAUUAAGGGGAGAAAAUAAAUGUUUUUCUCUUAAGAA
Pipistrellus kuhlii (Kuhl's pipistrelle) is the source of this 4062-nucleotide long non-coding RNA. RefSeq lists it as uncharacterized. Lineage: Eukaryota; Metazoa; Chordata; Mammalia; Chiroptera; Vespertilionidae. The record is from RefSeq and is a predicted model, not a curated record. The transcript has 2 exons.